GAUGAACGCUGGCGGCGUGCCUAAUACAUGCAAGUCGAGCGAACAGAUGAGGAGCUUGCUCCUCUGACGUUAGCGGCGGACGGGUGAGUAACACGUGGAUAACCUACCUAUAAGACUGGGAUAACUUCGGGAAACCGGAGCUAAUACCGGAUAAUAUAUUGAACCGCAUGGUUCAAUAGUGAAAGACGGUUUUGCUGUCACUUAUAGAUGGAUCCGCGCCGCAUUAGCUAGUUGGUAAGGUAACGGCUUACCAAGGCAACGAUGCGUAGCCGACCUGAGAGGGUGAUCGGCCACACUGGAACUGAGACACGGUCCAGAAUCCUACGGGAGGCAGCAGUAGGGAAGCUUCCGCAAUGGGCGAAAGCCUGACGGAGCAACGCCGCGUGAGUGAUGAAGGUCUUCGGAUCGUAAAACGCUGUUAUGAGGGAAGAACAAAUGUGUAAGUAACGAUGCACGUCUGGACGGUACCUAAUCAGAAAGCCACGGCUAACUACGU
RNAcentral lists this ribosomal RNA (496 nucleotides) under uncultured bacterium. RNAcentral's name for it is "partial 16S ribosomal RNA". It matches the Rfam family "Bacterial small subunit ribosomal RNA", at positions 28 to 506 of the family's 1533-position model. The record is from RNAcentral.